AGUUGCAUUCCGUAAGGGACCACUGGGUUAUCUUCUUCAGGAACCAACUGACCAGGCCAGGGUUAUCAAAAACAACCCGUCUCUGAAGGACAAAUCAGCACCAAUAAAGGAGGAGCUUGUUAGACAAAAUGCUUUGACUGUGGUACGUCAAGGAGGAGGUGAUGCAUCAGACAAAAAAGAAGUAUUUGGUGAAUACAUUCUGCAGUUUGGCAAACGCAACACAGAAUUAUAAGCUGCAGCAAUACCUACUGAGACAGCAGCAACAGUCAGGUGACUGUUUAUCUGUGGUUACCCACAGAAAUGGAUGAAGACACAGAGUUGGAGUGUUCAAUGCUGAGCAUCACCCCCUCUAAACUACAGGUACCAUGGUUUCGCUCCGGCCAUGUUUCAUUAACAAUAGUGUGUGUGCUGUUGGCAUUAUACUAACAUUUCAGGAGGCUGUAGAUUGAUUUCAUCCCUAUCAUGAAUUGAUACAAACCCUGUUCAGGAACCUCCUGCUUUCCUAUCAAAGCCUUGUGAUGACACUAAAAAGUCACCAGUCUAUGAGCUGAAAUUUCUUGAGUAAGAACCAUCACCUUUCACACAAUCAAAGAAAAGUGUUUCAGCUACAGGUGUGUUUUAUGUCAGGUUUUUGGGUGAUUCUAUCUCGGCCCACAUUUACAUCUUAACUGUUUAGCUUAGAUGUAUUGUACACUGUUUUUCGGGAGAGCACAGCGUUGUAGACAACUUUCAUGCACGCAGGACACUUACUUUGAGGACUGUGGCAAAAACGGUAAGAGUGUAUUGCACUCGAUUGGACUAGACAGGAUUAUGUUGAAUCAACUCUAUAUUUGGAUUGAUUAAUAUAUCCUUUUAAAAAAAAAUCCUUAAUCCUUUUUAAAUUCUAGUUUUUAGAAACUCUCUCAUCUUCACGAACCACAUCACGUAGUGUCCCACAAACAGCGGAGGCAU
Paramisgurnus dabryanus is the source of this 951-nucleotide long non-coding RNA. RefSeq lists it as uncharacterized. Lineage: Eukaryota; Metazoa; Chordata; Actinopteri; Cypriniformes; Cobitidae. The record is from RefSeq and is a predicted model, not a curated record.